RNAcentral lists this long non-coding RNA (1579 nucleotides) under Dermacentor andersoni. Its description in RNAcentral is "uncharacterized LOC126527381". Lineage: Eukaryota; Metazoa; Arthropoda; Arachnida; Ixodida; Ixodidae. The record is from RNAcentral.
CACUUCAAAGCAAAGCGUUCGUACGUGCUGGAAGAUGGAUCCACGGACGACGCUGCAACGAGCAUUUGCAACGUGACCGGUGUCAGCGGUCGGUGGUACUGUCAUCAUGGAAGUUUUCAGGCAAUGUCCCCGCCGUGAAAGCCGAGUUUGGUUUCGAGCUAUUCAGGACAAAUGCAGCAUGAGGCACUGUUUCUCGGGAGGACCAGUGGGAAGGCGUCAGGUCAUGCGGAUGAUAGCAGCAGCUUCACAAUGCCCAGCCUUGGUGCCCUCCAUCAAGAGCAAGCCACUUCCGUUCACCUUCAGACAGAUGGCUAAUGUCUUGUUCGAUGCAGGAUUGCAAGAUUCCAGUAUAGCCAUGCGCUGCAUUUAUUGGUCAAGAUGCUCAGAGAAUGGAGAGUCCCUGUACCUUGCCGUAAACUUUGAACAGGAUUUUCUUUUCUUUUUGAAAGCUAAAUGCCAUUUGUUGCUCAAAUGCGUACCAUAUUUUUUUCUAAUCUUGAAUCAAUUAGUAUACACUGUUCAUUAUAUUUAUACUGUUUGAUGCAACCAUUUCUUACUGGCAAAUGUCAAGUGUGAUACUGAACUUGAACUUAUGCAUGACUGCCUGUGCCUAUGUUCUUUUAGUAACCAGAGCAUCGCUGACUUAAUAAACCAUAUUUGCUCAUUUCCAUACUCACAUGCUACAGCAAGCCCUAAGCUUGGAUUACCGCAUCUUAAGUGCAAGUACAGUAGACUCUCGUUAAUUCAAACUCGAAGGGGCCCCAGGAUUUUGUUUGAAUUAUCAGGAAGUUUGAAUUAUAGGAACUUCUCGCGUAUAUGACUGAGCAAGAUUACAGUGCACAUUACAAUUAAUUAUCCACUUAAAUCAUAUUUUAAACAUUUCACUCUUUAAUUACACCGUAAAAACAGAGCAGAGGUGAAGAAUCCAGAACAAGUUUAAUGGAAAUCUAUGGCUGACUAGACCGUUUGAAGAAAUCAUGAAUUGUUGAUUGUUUUUUCUUUACAUGUGCAUUAAGAACAACGAUCUCUAUUCCAUUAAGAGCAGCCAGUUGUUCUUGAGAAUUUUCUUCUACAGUCAGAAAUUUGCGGACCUCGGCAAUGUAGUGGAAGGCCUGUGCUGCUGUCACAGAGGAUUGCUCUUCUGUUUCCUCUUCACUUUCGCUGCUGUACUGUGCUGGCAGCACCUCAUCCACCAAGUCGUCCAGGGUGUCUUCCCUGCACACGCAGAGGUUAUCAUCGGCUGCCUUCUCAAGCUCCGGAUGCGCCGCCUCCCUAAGCCUUUUUCUGUCGGGAGCGAAAUGGCCUGCGUUGUUUCGCAGCUUGUCUUUCGCUUUCACAAUCGUUGUCAGCAUACUUUUUGUGAUUCCAUACUUCAAUGCCACAGAAGUCUUCUUCGCUCCAGCCUCAACUUCUAUGGCUGCCAAUUUUUCUUUCACAGAAAGGGUUCGGUACUUCCCCCGCGGAGACAUGAUGCUACCAACGCGGGCGACUGACCAGGGAAAGAAAAGCGCGAGCAGUCACGUAAUUCGGAAUCGGCCGAUGCUACUCGCGUCACUUUCGCACCUUUUUUUUUUCCUUU